CCACCACCAGGCACAACCCGGCGUUCCACAGGACCCUGAACAGCAGCGUAGGCCCCCUGAAGAAUGCAAACUCCCACCUGGCCUGGUCUGAACAACCCACCCUUAAGGGGCGGAGGGCCUCUGGGGCUGCGCUGACUCACGCCUGGAAGAUGCGGCUGCCUGGUCGUUGAACUUGAGCGACUCCACAAUCCGGCCUUCCGAACUCUGUAGGCAGUUCCCGACCCAGACCCUACCACCCAAUCCAGACUUCCGAGCUCCAGGCGCCUGCACCUCUCAACCUAUUAGUGACCCCAACCCGAUGCCCUAAAACCUGGGUUAGGGCCCUUAUUUGUUUGAGCGUUUACUUAAUUAAAGCGUUUCCCUUGAGAAAAGGUU
Marmota flaviventris (yellow-bellied marmot) is the source of this 375-nucleotide long non-coding RNA. RefSeq lists it as uncharacterized. NCBI's taxonomy places the organism in Eukaryota, Metazoa, Chordata, Mammalia, Rodentia, Sciuridae. The record is from RefSeq and is a predicted model, not a curated record.